Xenopus laevis (African clawed frog) is the source of this 8092-nucleotide RNA transcript. RefSeq lists it as uncharacterized. Lineage: Eukaryota; Metazoa; Chordata; Amphibia; Anura; Pipidae. The transcript is spliced from 2 exons. The record is from RefSeq and is a predicted model, not a curated record.
CCCGCCCAAGCCAAUCUAACAUUUGAACUGCAUAAUUCAUUGUGACUGCUAAUAUAAGAGAAGUUUAUAGCAACUUAGCGCUAGUUUGCAGUACAGAACAAUAUAUACCUCUAUAUGCUCUGUUGUAUGGCAAGCAGAAAAGUUAUUCCUGCUGUUAAAGUUUAUUUGUGUGUAAAGUAACAGCCAGCAGCUAUAAUAUAGCCAGCUAAGCACAAGACAUUACAGGGUUAAUUUGAGUACUCCAGACACCUGACAGUCUAGUCCAAUCAGAACCCAGCCUCACUCUGAGAUCUUCUAGAAUCUAGCCAGACAUGCCAGCAGCCAUCUUAGAGACAGAAUCUUCAGAGAGCAUGCCAGAGUAAAGAAACUGCCCUUAAGAUUCUAUGAGGCGAAAAUAGGUGAACUAUCUUUGUUUAUGUGUACUGAUUAAUGCUGCUAAUGACAAUGUUAGUGAUUAUAUGUUAGAAUAUAUACUGAAUGCUCAUUUUGUAUGUUUGUCCCUAGUUCUACCACAUUCUACACAUUCUACGUGUACUUACUGCACUUAUAUCGCACCAAUAUUGCUAAAACUCAUCAUCUUUGUUCCUGAUUCCCUAUCCUGAUGAUGUUACCAAUAAAUAAAGUUAUUUUUGUACCAGUGGUAUGUUCUUAAAGUCUUUCAAGGAUCCGAGGACAGUUACAGUAGAACUAUUACCCUCUGAGGAGGCGAGAAGACGCACCUCAUCUGAGCUAGAGCAGAAGCCAUAUCAAGUGUGCCUCAGAGUGUAAUUGCAAGCCCUUAAAGAGACGGUGCGCAAAAAAUAAAAUAAAAGUUAAACAGCCCUGUAAAGCUAACCUGCCUUUUCUGUGGCAAUAGAGUUGACAAAAUACCACAGAAGAAGCACAAAUAGAUCCCAGUAUUGCACCCAAGUAGAUGUAUGCCUUUCCUGCGGCCUUCAGAGUCAGAGCAUUGCCACAGUGAGAGUGCACAUAUCGACAAACGUGUUACCGCCCAGAGUGAAACAACCACGUGCUGCAAUUCACCCAGAGACAUCGCACACAAGCAGAGCAACAAUCCUGACAGCUGCAUCUCUGCAAGGAAAGACACAGACCGUCAGCAUCCUGUAAGUAACUGCAAGCAAGCCAAAGUCCCUCACCUUGCAUCUACUUCUGCAAAGACUGAUCCUGAGUGAUUCCUAACUUCUAUAGAGAGACACUUAUUUUGAAUCAGCAAGCCAAGUCACUGUAUCCUGCUCUUCACAUUAAGGUCAGAGUUUCCUGUUUAUUCCUUAUUGAUGGUUAUGUGCUGACCUUGGCACAUUAAGAGACACUGAAUAAAAGGUAAUAAGAACUUUGAGAGAAUCCAGAGAUAUUUGCAUUAUAAGGACUUUAUGUGAAUUUGAAUAAAGUUAUUUAUUCCUUUGAUAUUUAACUCUUUCAAGUCAAAAUGUCUGUUUAUAGUGAUUCAAUGCCAUUGUUAGAGGGUGAAGCGUUCAAUAGUGAGAGAUAUUCCCUACAACAGAAGGUAUUAGAGUUGAGGGAAACCUUAAAGUCAGAGACAGAUCCUGAAGCGCUAGAAAGGAUAAAUUGUGACAUAAAAAAGUACCUGUCUAAGAUAGAGAAUUUAGAAGCUGAGCUUAGGGAGUCUCAAGCAGUCUCAGAACAGAUAAGCAAGUUGAGACAGUCAUCUCGUGAGAGGAGACCUACCCCAAAAAUGCUAGAAUAUAUGCAACAAGAGGCUGCACAAAGAGAAAGGAAAUUCAACCAAAUGUACAUAAAAUGGAAAACGCAUACCAAUGAAGUUCGCAUGAAGCUAAAACAAGAGUGUGCAGAGGAUGAAUUAUCCAACAUGAUGGAUGCUGUAGAGAAGAAUGAGUUAGAUAUGAAGACAAUAUAUUAUGAGCUAAGGUCAUACACAGCACCCUCCCAGGACAUUAAGAGGAAGAUCGACACAUGCACUGCAAUAACAGCAGAUUUAUUAGGGCUUAUGAGAAUACGAUCAAUUGAAACCGACUUUGAUGUAGAGACAGAGAGGACAAGGCUACUAGAGCUUUAUAAAAGGGAUUAUGCAAAGUCUGUAUAUGGAUCUACAGUUUCAAGAGUAGCAUCUUCUAGCAAACAUUCUAGCCACUCAUCUAAGUGCACAAGUAUCUCAGCCAAAAGAGUAGAAGCAUCUGCACAACUUGCCGCUAAAAGAGCUGAGAUUGAGAUGGAAGCUGUUAUCGAAGCACAACGUCAACAAUUAAAAAAGUUAAAAAACCAAAGAGACAUCGAGGUCAUGGAAGCUAAACUUAGAGUAUAUACUGAAGAGGAAAUAAAAGAAAAUGGUGAUAGAUCCAGAGCAGUACUUCACGAGAGAACAGAUCCCUGUCCUUCUAUCCUCACUGAGGAAAACAAAUGGAAAUCUAAGUCAGUGUGUAGUGAGAGAACAGAUCCCUGUCCUUCUAUCCCCACUAGUCAUCAUAGUGACGAAGGAAAUGUUGCAGCUAUUGCCCAAGCAAUACAUGAGACAAUGGUUCUUACAAGACUUCCAACUCCUGAACCAACUGUAUUCUCAGGAGACCCAUUGAAGUUCAUAGAGUGGAGUACAAGCUUUGAAGCACUUAUUGCACGUCGCUGCCCCAAUCCAGCAGACAAGUUGUUCUACCUACAGAAGUAUGUUAGUGGAGAAGCAAAGAGGGCUCUUGAAGGUAGCUUCUACAGGAAGGAUGAAGAAGCCUACAAACAAGCAUGGGAGAAGCUAAAUGCACGGUAUGGCCAUCCCUUUGUAGUACAGCGAGCCUUUAGAGAAAGACUUAACAGUUGGCCAAAGAUAGGCUCUAAAGAGUAUGUUAGGCUUAGAGAGUAUGGUGACUUCCUGCAAGCAUGUAACAACGCCAUUCCUCACAUAAAGGGUUUGCAAGUACUGAAUGACUGUGAAGAAAACCAGAAAAUGUUACUUAAGCUGCCUGAUUGGGUGACCUCAAGAUGGAAUCGUCAUGUAACUAAACAGUUAGACCAAGGCAAGGAGUAUCCCAGUUUUGAAGAGUUCUCUUCAUUUGUCAAUUCAGAAGCACGUAUAGCAUGCAAUCCAGUGUCAUCCCUUCACGUUCUGAAACCUUUGGAAGGAAAGCCAACGAGAGAGAUAAAACGUGCAAAGGCAACUUCAUUUGCAGUCGAUACAAUGACUAAAGACCAUGAUAACAAUGAGAGUAAGCCUAAGGUCAUUGAUGUACCGAAUAGAGAGAAAGUACAGACAGAGAGUCACACACCUCUUCAAUGCAUGUUCUGUGGAGAGAAUCACUACAUCUACAAAUGUCAACAAAUGAAGGAAAGGUCUGUAGAGGAGAAGAAAAGAUUCAUACUGGAUAACCAACUCUGUUUUGGUUGCCUAAGAAAGGGACACAGUGCCAAGGACUGUAAAAGAAGAGCCACCUGUGGCAUUUGUAAAGGACGUCACCCAACCCCAUUACAUGAAGAUCGCCCAAAAAGGGAUAAAGCUUCAACACUCAGUACUCUCAUUGAGGGAGAAAUCAUAUCCACACUAUCUUGCUGUAUGGUUAAAAAUGAGAGUAAGAAUACGUCAAUGAUCAUCCCAGUGUGUAUCUCAUCUCCAGGAACAGAAAGCAAGGAGGUACUUGCUUAUGCAUUACUAGACACACAAAGCAGUAACACAUUUAUCGAUCAAGAAGUCUGUGAGAAAUUGCAAGUGGCAAUGGAGCCAGUGAAGCUUAAGCUCUCAACGAUUAUGGGAAAAGACUCAUUGGAAGAUAGUCAAAGAGUCACAGGACUAAAAGUCAAGGGACUUUGCUCAGAUGUCACCAUAGAUCUACCUCCGGUCUAUACAAGAGACUUCAUACCCCUUGAUCGUGAACACAUACCUACCUGUGAAACAGCCCAAAAGUGGAAGCACCUAUCAGUCAUCUCUCAUAAAAUACCCCCUCUGAAGGAGUACCGUGUGGGGCUUCUGAUAGGUUAUGACUGUUCUAAAGCACUGAUGCCACGACAAAUAAUAACAGGAGGUGAUGAUGAACCAUAUGCCAUCAAAACUGAUUUAGGAUGGAGCAUUGUUGGAGGACCACAACAGGCUACAAGCUCAAGACAAGUAACCGGGUUAUGUAAUCGCAUAUCUGUCAAGAUGUCACUAACCCCAAGUCCUGCUACAGUGAUCAAGAUUCUUGAGUCCGACUUUGCAGACACCAGCUCAAAAGAAAAGAGCAUAUCUCAAGAAGAUAUAACAUUCCUACACAUCUUGGAAGGAGGCAUUCAGCUAAACCAACAAGGCCAUCUAGAGAUGCCCUUACCUUUCAAAAAACGCCCUGACCUUCCAUACAAUAAGAAUCUUGCCUUAGUACGACUAAGACGUUUAGAGAGGAAGCUGGGAAGAGAGCCAAAGUUCAAAAGCGACUAUUUCAAGUUUAUGGAAGGCAUCAUACAAGACGGAGAUGCAGAAAGAGCUGACCAUCAACCAGACCUGGGGAAGGUUUGGUACAUUCCACAUCAAGGUGUCUAUCACUCGAAGAAACCAGACAAGAUAAGAGUGGUGUUUGAUUGCUCAGCAAGGUAUGAUGGUGUUGCAUUGAACGAUUAUCUGUUAACGGGACCAGACCUCACGAAUAUGCUAUCUGGAGUUCUCUGUAGAUUUCGGAAAUACCCCAUUGCUGUCAUGUGUGACAUUGAAAAGAUGUUCCACAGGUUUCAUGUGAAAGAGGAAGAUAGAGAUUUCCUGAGGUUCCUAUGGUGGGAGAAUGGAAACACUAAUACAGAGCCUGUGGAAUAUCGCAUGAAAGUUCAUCUGUUUGGAGCAGCAUCAUCCCCAGGUUGUGCCAAUUACGGUAUGAAACACCUUGCCAAACAAUAUGAAAGAAAUUAUCCAUCUGCAGCAAACUUCAUUACAAAAAACUUUUAUGUUGACGAUGGACUUGUUAGCCUGCAAUCUGCUGACUCAGCAAUCAAAUUAGUGAAAGAAACUCAAGAGUUGUGCGCAAAGGGAAAUCUGCGCCAUCACAAGUUCAUCUCAAACAACAGAGAAGUGUUGGAAUCCAUUUGCGAAUCUGAACGAGCAUCAGCAAUGGAAAAUGUAGACCUCAACUACGAUGAUCUUCCAGUCCAGAAUGCACUUGGCCUGAGAUGGGAUGUGGAAAAUGAUGAGUUCUUCUUUAAGGUCUCUAUUGAAGAGAAACCAGCAACAAGACACAAUAUUCUCUCCACGGUAGCUUCUAUUUAUGAUCCAUUGGGAUUCUUAGCCCCAGUGAUCCUCAGAGGAAAGGGAAUACUCCAAGAGCUGUGCAGACAGAAGCUAGGUUGGGAUGACUCUAUACCAGAAGAACUGAGGCCAAGGUGGGAGAGUUGGAUUAAGGAUUUACAAGAUCUGCAAGGAGUCAGAAUACUAAGGUGCUUUGCACCCUAUGACUUUGGAAAGUAUGAGAGAAUCGAACUGCAUCACUUCUCAGACGCUAGCAGUUACGGUUAUGGCCAAUGUUCCUACAUCAGGGUGAUAAGAGAUGAAAAGGUACAUUGCUCCCUUGUCAUGGCCAAGACCAGAGUUGCACCUACCAAUGUUCUCACAAUACCAAGACUGGAACUAGCAGCUGCUGUAGUUUCUGCUUCAGUGAGCAAGUUCCUGAGAGACGAAUUAGAGUUCAAGGUAGAUGAAGAGUACUUUUGGACAGACUCACAGGUGGUUCUAGGCUACAUAAAUAAUGAAGCUCGAAGAUUUCAUGUCUUUGUGGCGAACAGAGUUCAAAGAAUUAGAGAAAUUACUGAUCCAGACCGGUGGUACUACAUUGAGUCAGAAAGGAAUCCAGCUGAUCAUGCUUCAAGAGGUCUUAAAGUUUCAGAAAUGAAGGACUCAAAUUGGUUUACAGGCCCAAAGUUACUAUGGGAAAGGGAAAUAGUACCCAACAAAGAUUGCCUAGAACUAUCCAUGUGCGAUCCUGAAGUGAAGGUCAUUCAAGCCUUAAAAACAAUAACCAAGUGCCAGGACGAUAUGCUCGAAAGACUAUCACGAUUCUCCAAGUGGACUACAGUAGUAAAUGUAGUUGCUCGAAUUCAGCGUCUGGCAAGUCGAACUAGGAAGAUUGAACCCUUGAACGUUGAAGAAAGAAUGAAAGCUGAGGACACAGUUAUAAAACUCAUUCAUCAGAGAUUUUACAAAGAGGAAUUAAAGAUGCUCAGUCAAGAACCUGGAAGGCUUCCCAACAACCACCCUUUGCAUCAACUUAAUCUUAUCCUACAGGAUGGUAUAAUAAGAGUAGGAGGAAGAUUGGAAAAUGCACCUUUACCUUUCAGAGUGAAGCAUCCAGUGAUUCUUCCCAAGGAUUCUACCCUUACAAGCCUGAUAAUUGAUCAUCAUCACACAAGGUCCUCACAUCAAGGCAGAGGUCUAACCUUGAGCUACUUGAGAGAUGGCGGUUACUGGAUUGUGAAUGGCAGUAAAACUGUAGCUAAACACAUAAAACAGUGUAUACUGUGUCGGAAGACUCGAAGACCGACAGAAGACCAAAGAAUGGCAAAUUUACCCAUUGAUCGUGUAGAACCAUCGCCUCCCUUCUCUUAUUGUGGCAUGGAUUGUUUUGGUCCAUUCUACACCAAGCAAGAUCGUAAGGAGCACAAAAGAUAUGGUCUACUUUUCACGUGUCUAAGCUCCAGAGCAAUCCACAUAGAGAUGUUGGAGAAUAUGUCAACUGAUGUGUUCAUCAAUGCCCUUCGAUGCUUCAUAGCCAUUAGAGGCACCGUAAGAAAAAUCAGAUCUGACCAAGGUUCUAACUUCGUUGGAGCUAAGAAUGAGUUGAGAAAAGCUUUAGAAGAAGUAGAUAAAGAAAGGAUAGCCAUGUUUCUGGCAGAGAGACAAUGUGACUUUUGUAUGAAUGUUCCAGAUGCAAGCCAUACAGGAGGCGUUUGGGAGCGUCAGAUAAGAACUGUAAGGAAUGUUCUGAGUUCAGUACUGAAGCAGAGUGCUGGAAGAAUAGACGAUGCUUCUCUGAGAACUGUAUUUUAUGAAGCUAUGUCCAUUGUGAACAGUCGUCCACUGACAGUUGAUAAUAUCAAUGACCCAACAAGUUUAGAUCCCCUGACUCCAAAUCAUCUGCUUCACCUAAAGUCCACUCCCAUACAGCCACCACCCGGCAAGUUCCUUGAGGAAGAUUUGUAUGCCAGAAAGAGAUGGCGGCGUGUGCAAUAUUUGACCGAACAGUUUUGGAACAGAUGGAGGAAGGAGUACCUAGCUAAUCUCACUCUCAGACAAAAAUGGCAUACUCCUAGGAGAAAUAUUCAAAUAAAUGACAUAGUGAUCGUCAAAGAAGAGGAUAUACCCAGAAAUCGAUGGAGAAUCGCUAAAGUUCUUGAAGUCCAGAAAGACAAUGAUGGAUUGGUGAGAAGAGUGAAAUUACAGAUGGGAGAUUCCAAAUUAAGUAAGAAAGGAGAACGUCUCACCACUCCACUCAUUCUAGAACGUCCUAUCCAAAAAUUGGUUGUUCUUAUCGAGAAUAAUAAAGAACAUUCUCAAAUGCAUAACAAGAAGGAAGAAGUAAAAUCCCCUUAAUUUAUGCAACCAAACUUAAAAAUGAAUGCAUAAAUUAAAGGUAAUUUGGUGGGAGUGUAGCUGCCCGCCCAAGCCAAUCUAACAUUUGAACUGCAUAAUUCAUUGUGACUGCUAAUAUAAGAGAAGUUUAUAGCAACUUAGCGCUAGUUUGCAGUACAGAACAAUAUAUACCUCUAUAUGCUCUGUUGUAUGGCAAGCAGAAAAGUUAUUCCUGCUGUUAAAGUUUAUUUGUGUGUAAAGUAACAGCCAGCAGCUAUAAUAUAGCCAGCUAAGCACAAGACAUUACAGGGUUAAUUUGAGUACUCCAGACACCUGACAGUCUAGUCCAAUCAGAACCCAGCCUCACUCUGAGAUCUUCUAGAAUCUAGCCAGACAUGCCAGCAGCCAUCUUAGAGACAGAAUCUUCAGAGAGCAUGCCAGAGUAAAGAAACUGCCCUUAAGAUUCUAUGAGGCGAAAAUAGUUCUACCACAUUCUACACAUUCUACGUGUACUUACUGCACUUAUAUCGCACCAAUAUUGCUAAAACUCAUCAUCUUUGUUCCUGAUUCCCUAUCCUGAUGAUGUUACCAAUAAAGAAAGUUAUUUUUGUA